This is an RNA transcript of Solanum dulcamara, 1574 nucleotides long. It is a transcript of the gene named disease resistance protein UNI-like, with no coding region annotated. NCBI's taxonomy places the organism in Eukaryota, Viridiplantae, Streptophyta, Magnoliopsida, Solanales, Solanaceae. The transcript has a single exon. The record is from RefSeq and is a predicted model, not a curated record.
CUGCUCCUAUAGCUUUCAUUUUUCACUCCUUUACUUCCCAGUAGAAUCAGUCAAAGGAGAGAAUCAGAAAGCAAAAAAAAAAAAAAAAAAACAAUACCAGAGUUCAGACUUCAUAGUUGAAAAAAGGCUUAUUACUAAACUAUACUAGCUAUGGAAUUCUUAUCUAUUUUUUUGGAAAAAGUCACAGAUUGCUUGAUGCAGCCAGUUGCGCGAGGGUUUGGGUAUUUAUUUUACUACAAGAGUAACAUCAGAUCUAUGGAAAAUGAAUCUGAGAAGCUGAAGAAUAUCAGAAGUGAGGUGCAGGAAAGAGAGGUGGCUGCCCGAAGAAACUUACAACGCAUUUCACGCAAUGGCGAGGAUUGGUUAAGUAGUGUUAAUACCACUAUUGAAGAAGUGGAAGAUGUAACGCAACGAGGUAGAAUUGAGGUUGAAAGAUAUGGUUGGUGUCCAAACUUGCGCUGAGCAGGAGAGCUAAGAAAGCAACACUGGAGUUGAUUCAACUUCAAAAAGAAGGCAACAAUCCUAUGGUUAUCUCCUUUGUUGAACUUCCAGUUCAAACUGAUCAGGCUAACAAUGGUGAGGAGUUUGACUCCAGAAAAUUGCAAGAGGAUGAGGUCAUGGCAGCUUUGAGAGAUGACGGGGUCACUAUGAUUGGGAUAUGUGGUCUGGGCGGUGUUGGUAAGACAACACUGGCUGAGAAAAUCAGACAAAAGGCGAAACAAGAAAGGUUGUUCGAUGAUGUUGUCAUGGUAAUUGUCAGUCAACAACCACACUUGAAAAAUAUUCAGGGUGAGAUCGCUGGAGGAGUCGGGCUGACAUUACCAGAGGCCGAUGAUUUGUGGAGUCGUGGAGAUCGGCUGCAUACAAGGUUAAUGGAAAUUCCCAACCACAACCAUCGGUGCAAAGUGACAUUCACAACGCGUUUCCGAUCUGUUUGUGAAGCAAUGGGAGCUCAGAAGAUAAUAGAAGUUGGAACGUUAUCUGAAGAUGAAGCAUGGAUGCUUUUCAGGCAGAAAGUCGGUGAUUUUGUCGACGAUUCUUCUCUUCAUGGCACAGCAAAAGAGGUUGCCAAAGAAUGCAAGGGGCUGCCGCUUGCAAUUAUUACAGUUGCAGGAGCACUAAAAAAGCAUAAAAACAAGCGUUCAUGUAACUGUACCCUUGAAGAAUUACGUGGUGCAGUAACAAUAAGUAUCCCUGACGUGCCCACAGAGUUGUAUAAACCUCUGAGGCUAAGCUAUGAUUACUUGGGAAGUAAUGAAGCCAAGUACCUCUUUUUGCUUUGUUCCUUGUUCGAGGAAGAUAGUAAUAUCUGUCCUGAAGAAUUACUUAGCUAUGAAAGGGGGCUUCGCAUCUUUCCGGAAAUCGCAAAUUUAGAACAAGCAAGAGAUAAGGUGUGUUCUCUGUUAGAAACAUUGGAAGAUGGUUUCUUGUUAUCCCAAGGUUCAAACAAAAAAUAUGUCAAAAUGCAUGAUGUGGUCCAUGCUAUGGCUAUAAGUAUUGCGUCUGAGGGAGAGCAUAACUUCAUGGUAAGCCACGAUGUGAACUCAGAAGAGCACUAGAGUUAAUUUGUAUAA